Ribosomal RNA from Xenia sp. Carnegie-2017, 120 nucleotides. NCBI's taxonomy places the organism in Eukaryota, Metazoa, Cnidaria, Anthozoa, Malacalcyonacea, Xeniidae. The record is from RefSeq and is a predicted model, not a curated record.
GUCUACGACCAUACCACAAGGAAAUCACCGGUUCUCGUCUGAUUCACCGAAGUUAAGCCUUGUCGGGCGAAGUUAGUACUUGGAUGGGUGACCGCCUGGGAAUACUUCGUGUUGUAGACU